UAAUUCUCCUGCCUCAGCCUUCCGAGAAGCUGGGAUUACAGUCUACUCAAGGUGAAGAUGACAAGGAUGAAGACCUUUAAGAUGAUCCACUUCUAGUUAAUGAAGAAUUACAAAACACUUUAAUGUUCAUCACUGUACUUUAAUGCUCACAGCUACCCCAGAAAGUAAUUACCAUAAGAAAACCAGGGCAAGAUUAUUAUUCCUAUCUUCAUGUUGAGGAAAUUGGGACUCAGAGAGUUCAAGUAAUUUGCCCAGGAUCACACAGCUAGCAAGAGGAAGAGCCAGGAUUUCAACCUAGAAAUUACUCUCUGGACCCAUUUUAUCACCAUUGUGGCAGCCUGAAAUGCUAGAGAAUGAACAGCUGCUCCCAACAUCCUCCACCCAGCUGAAGGAACACAGA
RNAcentral lists this long non-coding RNA (400 nucleotides) under Homo sapiens (human). RNAcentral's name for it is "HSALNT0384885". Lineage: Eukaryota; Metazoa; Chordata; Mammalia; Primates; Hominidae. The record is from RNAcentral.